GACGAACGCUGGCGGCGUGCCUAAUACAUGCAAGUCGAACGCACUCUCGUUUAGAUUGAAGGAGCUUGCUCCUGAUUGAUAAACAUUUGAGUGAGUGGCGGACGGGUGAGUAACACGUGGGUAACCUGCCCUAAAGUGGGGGAUAACAUUUGGAAACAGAUGCUAAUACCGCAUAAAACCUAAACACCGCAUGGUGUAGGGUUGAAAGAUGGUUUCGGCUAUCACUUUAGGAUGGACCCGCGGUGCAUUAGUUAGUUGGUGAGGUAAAGGCUCACCAAGACCGUGAUGCAUAGCCGACCUGAGAGGGUAAUCGGCCACACUGGGACUGAGACACGGCCCAGACUCCUACGGGAGGCAGCAGUAGGGAAUCUUCCACAAAGGACGAAAGUCUGAUGGAGCAACGCCGCGUGAGUGAAGAAGGUUUCGGAUCGUAAAACUCUGUUGUUGGAGAAGAAUGUAUCUGAUAGUAACUGAUCAGGUAGUGACGGUA
Molecule: ribosomal RNA, 490 nt
Filed under: uncultured bacterium
Lineage: Bacteria
Description: bacterial SSU rRNA
Rfam family: Bacterial small subunit ribosomal RNA
Source: RNAcentral